RNAcentral lists this transfer RNA (411 nucleotides) under Limnospira fusiformis KR2012/1. RNAcentral describes it as "Arthrospira fusiformis KR2012/1 partial 16S-23S ribosomal RNA intergenic spacer". The stretch from base 204 to 276 matches the Rfam family "tRNA". Lineage: Bacteria; Bacillati; Cyanobacteriota; Cyanophyceae; Oscillatoriales; Sirenicapillariaceae. RNAcentral also lists the same sequence under 1 other name. The record is from RNAcentral.
UUAGGGAGACCUACUUCAGGACAUCGUGCGAUGAUAAUAAUAGCCGAGUCUUGAGGUCAUCCUUAGGUCGGAUGGGGCGGUCAGAGAGCUUUCAAACUUUAGGGUUCGUGUUAUGGGCUAUUAGCUCAGGUGGUUAGAGCGCACCCCUGAUAAGGGUGAGGUCCCUGGUUCAAGUCCAGGAUGGCCCACAUCCACCCCAAACUGGGGGUAUAGCUCAGUUGGUAGAGCGCUGCCUUUGCACGGCAGAAGUCAGCGGUUCGAGUCCGCUUACCUCCACUCUCCUAGAAUUAGGUGCUAGUUGGGGUGAGGUAGUCUUGAAUUGAGAAAUUGAGAGUUGGUGACUGUACAGCUCCUAAGUCUGUAGAUGUUAAUCUAGGACUAGAUAGCUGGACAUAAGUUCCAGUCAGAACC